GGGGGUGAACGGUUUCGACUUUGGACGUUCGUUUGAAGUGAAGCGGGCCGAGGAUCCAGGGUUAUCUCGUUAACGAUCUCUGGAAACCAAUAAGUGCCAACGUUAAGCGCACUGACCUCGCUCUCGCCGCCUGACGGCCUGAGAUAAACGAGGGGUCAGCCCGGGGAUGCUCUCGACCCGGUUCCUGGCCUCAGCUAGAGAGCUUGCUGUGUUGACCCGGUCACGGGGUUAGCACGGGACUUUUACAGUGACUGAGCCUGUCAGCGACGUGUCUGUUAGAGCGCUGGGGCUGAGAAAAGCGAUAACAGACUGCGCCCGGAGAAGCCUUGAAACAACGCUGAAGGACGCGGGUUCGAUUCCCGCCACCUCCACGA
RNAcentral lists this transfer-messenger RNA (374 nucleotides) under Kribbella antiqua. It matches the Rfam family "transfer-messenger RNA". Rfam says of the family: Bacterial tmRNA, also known as 10Sa RNA or SsrA, is named for its dual tRNA and mRNA-like properties. Its role is to liberate the mRNA from a stalled ribosome. The record is from Rfam by way of RNAcentral. RNAcentral also lists the same sequence under 1 other name. Lineage: Bacteria; Bacillati; Actinomycetota; Actinomycetes; Propionibacteriales; Kribbellaceae.